RNAcentral lists this ribosomal RNA (274 nucleotides) under uncultured bacterium. Its description in RNAcentral is "partial 16S ribosomal RNA". It matches the Rfam family "Bacterial small subunit ribosomal RNA", at positions 523 to 796 of the family's 1533-position model. The record is from RNAcentral.
AUACGGAGGGUGCAAGCGUUACUCGGAAUCACUGGGCGUAAAGCGCGCGCAGGCGGUCUUUUAAGUUGGAUGUGAAAGCCUACGGCUCAACCGUAGAACUGCAUCCAAAACUAUUAGACUAGAGUGUGGGAGAGGAAGAUGGAAUUAGUUGUGUAGGGGUAAAAUCCGUAGAGAUAACUAGGAAUACCAAAAGCGAAGGCAAUCUUCUGGAACACUACUGACGCUGAGGCGCGAAAGCGUGGGGAGCAAACAGGAUUAGAUACCCGGGUAGUCC